GGGGGUAUAGCUCAGCGGUAGAGCGCGUGCUUAGCAUGCACGCGGUCCUGGGUUCAAUCCCCAAUACCUCCA
Molecule: transfer RNA, 72 nt
Organism: Homo sapiens (human)
Lineage: Eukaryota; Metazoa; Chordata; Mammalia; Primates; Hominidae
Rfam family: tRNA
About the family: Transfer RNA (tRNA) molecules are approximately 80 nucleotides in length. Their secondary structure includes four short double-helical elements and three loops (D, anti-codon, and T loops).
Source: Rfam